UGGGGAAUUUUGGACAAUGGGCGAAAGCCUGAUCCAGCAAUGCCGCGUGUGUGAAGAAGGCCUUCGGGUUGUAAAGCACUUUUGUCCGGAAAGAAAUCCUUGGCUCUAAUACAGUCGGGGGAUGACGGUACCGGAAGAAUAAGCACCGGCUAACUACGUGCCAGCAGCCGCGGUAAUACGUAGGGUGCAAGCGUUAAUCGGAAUUACUGGGCGUAAAGCGUGCGCAGGCGGUUUGCUAAGACCGAUGUGAAAUCCCGGGGCUCAACCUGGGAACUGCAUUGGUGACUGGCAGGCUAGAGUAUGGCAGAGGGGGGUAGAAUUCCACGUGUAGCAGUGAAAUGCGUAGAGAUGUGGAGGAAUACCGAUGGCGAAGGCAGCCCCCUGGGCCAAUACUGACGCUCAUGCACGAAAGCGUGGGGAGCAAAACAGGAUUAGAUACCCUGGUAGUCCACGCCCUAAACGAUGUCAACUAGUUGUUGGGGAUUCAUUUCCUUAGUAACGUAGCUAACGCGUGAAGUUGACCGCCUGGGGAGUACGGUCGCAAGAUUAAAACUCAAAUGAAUUGACGGGGUCAUAGCUGUUUCCU
RNAcentral lists this ribosomal RNA (586 nucleotides) under uncultured bacterium. RNAcentral describes it as "partial 16S ribosomal RNA". It matches the Rfam family "Bacterial small subunit ribosomal RNA", at positions 355 to 1375 of the family's 1533-position model. The record is from RNAcentral.